Molecule: ribosomal RNA, 776 nt
Filed under: uncultured Neocallimastigales
Lineage: Eukaryota; Fungi; Neocallimastigomycota; Neocallimastigomycetes; Neocallimastigales
Description: partial large subunit ribosomal RNA
Rfam family: Eukaryotic large subunit ribosomal RNA
Source: RNAcentral
AGAGAGAGACAUGCGCGCAUAUCAAUAAGCGGAGGAAAAGAAACUAACAAGGAUUCCCUUAGUAACGGCGAGUGAAGCGGGAAGAGCUCAAAUUUGAAAUCUUCAAGGUUUUACCUUGACGAAUUGUAGUUUAAAGAAGUGUUUUCUGCUGAAGUUUUGGUAAAAGUUCUUUGGAAUAGGACAUCAUCAGAGGGUGAGAAUCCCGUAUUUGACCAUUAUUUUCAGCUUUGUGAUACACUUUCAAAGAGUCGGAUUGUUUGGGAAUGCAGUCCAAAAUGGGUGGUAAAUUUCAUCUAAAGCUAAAUAUUGGCGAGAGACCGAUAGCGAACAAGUACCGUGAGGGAAAGAUGAAAAGAACUUUGAAAAGAGAGUUAAACAGUACGUGAAAUUGUCAAAAGGGAAGCGUUUGACACCAGUGUUGUUUUCUCGAAAAUCAAUUAAAAAUGGCUCGAUUUUGUAGUUGUUGAGACCUUAAAAGCUCACUGUACAUUUUUCGUGUCUUUUUUAAUGCACUUUUCGUUUAACAAGUCAACAUCAGUUUCUUUUGUUGUAAAAGGGUCAUUGGAAGGUGGCUUUCUUUUCGGAGAAAGUGUUUAUAGCCUUUGGCCUCUGCAAUCGAAGAGACUGAGGUCUGCAGCGUAGACUCUUCGGGGUUAGAUACAUUUGUGCUAAGUUAUAGCUUUUUAUAGACAACUUGUUGACUAUAAUUAGUCUUGUAGCUUACUCGCUUAUGCUAUUUUACCUACGCUUAGGAUGUUGAAGUCAUCGUAUCGCGC